AAGCGGAAGCCUCCGCGGCGGUGACGUCCGGCCGGGGAAGGAGCCGUGGUUGAAGUUGCGGGUCGGGGAUCGGGUCCGCCUGAGGCGCCGCCAGCGGCACCGACCGCGCGGGACGAUGAGGCGGGAUUUACCUGGAGUAAAAGAUCACUGACC
RNAcentral lists this long non-coding RNA (153 nucleotides) under Apteryx haastii (Great spotted kiwi). Its description in RNAcentral is "lncRNA (ENSAHAG00000000155.1)". Lineage: Eukaryota; Metazoa; Chordata; Aves; Apterygiformes; Apterygidae. The record is from RNAcentral.